AAUACAGAUUUUUCGCCUAUAAAUGUAACGAACACACGCUAAAGAUUACUAUUUUUUCUCUGGUACAUAGCAAGUUGAGAAAAUGGGUAGGCUUUUUGUGUUAACUCUUGAAGGACGCAUCUACAAAUGCAAACACUGUCAAACCCAUUUUGCUUUGGCUGAUCACAUUAUUUCUAAGUCAUUCCACUGCAGUCAUGGGAGAGCUUACCUCUUUGAUAAAGUCGUGAACGU
RNAcentral lists this unclassified non-coding RNA (231 nucleotides) under Hevea brasiliensis (rubber tree). The record is from RNAcentral. Lineage: Eukaryota; Viridiplantae; Streptophyta; Magnoliopsida; Malpighiales; Euphorbiaceae.